GAUGAAGAACGUAGCGAAAUGCGAUAAGUAAUGUGAAUUGCAGAAUUCAGUGAAUCAUCGAGUCUUUGAACACACAUUGCGCCCCCUGGUAUUCCGGGGGGCAUGCCUGUCCGAGCGUCAUUGCUGCCCUCAAGCACGGCUUGUGUGUUGGGCCGUCGUCCCCCUCCUAGGGGACGGGCCCGAAAGGCAGCGGCGGCACCGCGUCCGGUCCUCGAGCGUAAGGGGCUUCGUCACCCGCUCCGUAGGCCCGGCCGGCGCUUGCCGACGACCAUCAAUCUCUUUCUCCAGGUUGACCUCGGAUCAGGUAGGGAUACCCGCUGAACUUAAGCAUAUCAAUAAGCGGAGGA
RNAcentral lists this unclassified non-coding RNA (347 nucleotides) under soil metagenome. RNAcentral's name for it is "partial contains 5.8S ribosomal RNA, internal transcribed spacer 2, and large subunit ribosomal RNA". The stretch from base 1 to 120 matches the Rfam family "5.8S ribosomal RNA", at positions 35 to 154 of the family's 154-position model. The record is from RNAcentral.